This 500-nucleotide ribosomal RNA is filed under the name uncultured bacterium. RNAcentral's name for it is "partial 16S ribosomal RNA". It matches the Rfam family "Bacterial small subunit ribosomal RNA", at positions 28 to 507 of the family's 1533-position model. The record is from RNAcentral.
GACGAACGCUGGCGGCGUGCUUAACACAUGCCAGUCGAACGGGUCUGCCCUGUUUUUUGCGGGGUGGGUCAGUGGCGAACGGGUGAGUAACACGUGAGUAACCUGCCCCUCACUUCUGGAUAACCGCUUGAAAGGGUGGCUAAUACGGGGUGUUCUGGCUGUGCCGCAUGGUGUGGCUGGGAAAGAUUCACUUUUGUGGUGUUUUGGUGGGGGAUGGGCUCGCGGCCUAUCAGCUUGUUGGUGGGGUGAUGGCCUGCCAAGGCUUUGACGGGUAGCCGGCCUGAGAGGGUGGGCGGUCACACUGGGACUGAGAUACGGCCCAGACUCCCGCGGGAGGCAGCAGUGGGGGGUAUUGCACAAUGGGCGGAAGCCUGAUGCAGCGACGUCGCGUGAGGGAUGGAGGCCUUCGGGUUGUGAACCUCUUUCGCCGGUGAAGAAGGUCCUGCUCUUUGUGGUGGGGUUGACGGUAGCCGGGUUAUGAAGCGCCGGCUAACUACGUG